AAUUUAUUUGGAGGUUUAUACUUUAUACUACUAUGUAAGAUCUUGUGCACAUAACAAUCUCUGCGGCUCAUAUGUCAUAACACGUUUAUUGCGCACUUUCUGGGUUGUGUCUGUGAUUGUGAAGAAGAUGAGAUAAGAAAUGAGAUUACGAUAUCAUGAAGUUUUAAGUGGCAUUUCCGCAAUUCCGCAUAGAACUCAUCUCUUUCAAUCUUGUUCCUUGUUCGGAUUCCUCCAACUUCCUUAAUGGCAAAAGCUAUUCCGCUGUGUAACAAAUGGUGUGGAUAUCGCCAUCACUGUUUCAAACAUUCGCCUUCUUUUUCCAUCCCUAAAUUCAGUUACUGGGCUUCUAGGAAGAAAACUGUUAUCAAAGUAAUUGCAGAGGAUUCCUCUGGUUCAAAUGUAAAGAGAGCAAAUUUAUCAGCCGCGAAAUCAGAGAGAAUUAAGCUGCCUGAUUAUAAUGAUGGCGUUGGAGGUAAGAAAUACCACAUAAGCGAAUUUCUAAGGCAGCCUAGUGGUAUUGCGGCCGUGUUGAACACGAGGGAGUUGCAAACAUUUGAAUCUCUUGAUGCUAACACUUACAGGUGCUCACUACCUAAACUUCAAUUUUUGAACUUUGAAGCUGCUCCAAUGAUGGAUCUGCGCGUCACCCCAACAGAGGAAGAUUGCUUGGUUGAGAUGCUUUCCUGUAAGUUUGAGGGUUCUGAAGUUGUGGAAGAGCAAAACAACCACUUUUCAGGUAUCAAUGGAUGGACUCGGUGCACAGCGAGGGAUUCGAGUCAUAUGUUUAAUUUGGGAUCUAAUCUCUGUUUAUGUGAAUUGACCAACAAAUUUUUUUUAUUUGCUAUUAAGAGCCUUCUACAGAUAAACUUAUUGUCUUCCAAGAAAACGAAAAGAUAUAUGUUUCAUGUGACUUUUCUUUUUCAUUUUCUUUUUCAAUUCAUGCUUUUAUUGCUAUGGAUUUGCAGCACUUAUGGUAAAUCAUAUGACAUGGGGAGGUGCUGAUGCUGAAUCAUUUUUAGAAGUUGAUGUUAAGUUGAAUCUCACACUUGAGAUUUAUACAAAACCAUUCACCAUGAUGCCUGUAUCAGCUGUGGAGCGUCCAGGAAAUUUAAUGAUGCAAGCUUUGGUGGACAAACUCGUGCCACUGCUACUUCAGCAGAUGCUUCAAGAUUAUGAUGAAUGGGUUCAAAAGCAAUUGGGAAAUACU
RNA transcript from Arachis stenosperma, 1207 nucleotides. RefSeq lists it as uncharacterized. The transcript is spliced from 7 exons. The record is from RefSeq and is a predicted model, not a curated record. Lineage: Eukaryota; Viridiplantae; Streptophyta; Magnoliopsida; Fabales; Fabaceae.